Molecule: ribosomal RNA, 242 nt
Filed under: uncultured bacterium
Lineage: Bacteria
Description: partial 16S ribosomal RNA
Rfam family: Bacterial small subunit ribosomal RNA
Source: RNAcentral
CGAACGGACCCUUCGGGGUUAGUGGCGGACGGGUGAGUAACACGUGGGAACGUGCCUUUAGGUUCGGAACAACACAGGGAAACUUGUGCUAAUACCGGAUGUGCCCUUCGGGGGAAAGAUUUAUCGCCUUAGAGCGGCCCGCGUCUGAUUAGCUAGUUGGUGGGGUAAAGGCCUACCAAGGCGACGAUCAGUAGCUGGUCUGAGAGGAUGGCCAGCCACAUUGGGACUGAGACACGGCCCAA